Molecule: non-coding RNA, 72 nt
Filed under: Pseudomonas sp. G2-4
Lineage: Bacteria; Pseudomonadati; Pseudomonadota; Gammaproteobacteria; Pseudomonadales; Pseudomonadaceae
Source: RNAcentral
AAGCGAAACCGUCCCAGGCAUCCUGGGACGGUCUAUCCGGUGUGGCAUCCGGAUACUGAUGAGCUGCCGAGG